GAUUUUUUUGUUUUACAAUACAUAGUAUGUAGGAUUAAGAGAAGCUAAUAAAUUAAUAAAUGAAUAGUUUAGAGGUAGGAUGGAUGAUGUAGUCAAAAAAAGUAGUUACCAUCAGUUGUAUAGUGGUUGGCAUUUUGAUGAAAGCAUAAGUAGGUUGAAGAAGAAGUAGAAAGGACCAAACUGUGAUAGUCAUGAUCUUGGGUAAGCUUAGUGCUACCUCUUUGUUUCUUUGUUUUUUUAUAAAAGAAGAGUAAUGAAUAGAAUUUGAAUAAUGUGAAGUGAAAUUUAGAAA
This 292-nucleotide long non-coding RNA is filed under the name Physcomitrium patens. RNAcentral's name for it is "long non-coding RNA (PPAT_LNC009472)". The record is from RNAcentral. Lineage: Eukaryota; Viridiplantae; Streptophyta; Bryopsida; Funariales; Funariaceae.